CCGUUCCCGGGCCUUGUACACACCGCCCGUCACACCACGAAAGUCGGCAACGCCCGAAGCCAGUGGCCUAACCCUUUGGGGAAGGAGCUGUCGAAGGUGGGGUCGGCGAUUGGGGUG
RNAcentral lists this ribosomal RNA (117 nucleotides) under uncultured bacterium. Its description in RNAcentral is "partial 16S ribosomal RNA". It matches the Rfam family "Bacterial small subunit ribosomal RNA", at positions 1368 to 1482 of the family's 1533-position model. The record is from RNAcentral.